This 336-nucleotide unclassified non-coding RNA is filed under the name soil metagenome. RNAcentral describes it as "partial contains 5.8S ribosomal RNA, internal transcribed spacer 2, and large subunit ribosomal RNA". The stretch from base 1 to 120 matches the Rfam family "5.8S ribosomal RNA", at positions 35 to 154 of the family's 154-position model. The record is from RNAcentral.
GAUGAAGAACGCAGCGAAAUGCGAUAAGUAAUGUGAAUUGCAGAAUUCAGUGAAUCAUCGAAUCUUUGAACGCACAUUGCGCCCGCCAGUAUUCUGGCGGGCAUGCCUGUUCGAGCGUCAUUUCAAUCAUCAAGCCCCCGGCUUGUGUUGGGGACCUGCGGCUGCCGCAGGCCCUGAAAAGCAGUGGCGGGCUCGCUGUCACACCGAGCGUAGUAGCAUACAUCUCGCUCUGGGCGUGCUGCGGGUUCCGGCCGUUAAACCACCUUCAUAACCCAAGGUUGACCUCGGAUCAGGUAGGAAGACCCGCUGAACUUAAGCAUAUCAAUAAGCGGAGGA